RNAcentral lists this ribosomal RNA (253 nucleotides) under uncultured Helicobacteraceae bacterium. RNAcentral's name for it is "partial 16S ribosomal RNA". It matches the Rfam family "Bacterial small subunit ribosomal RNA", at positions 524 to 776 of the family's 1533-position model. Lineage: Bacteria; Pseudomonadati; Campylobacterota; Epsilonproteobacteria; Campylobacterales; Helicobacteraceae. The record is from RNAcentral.
UACGUAGGGGGCAAGCGUUGUCCGGAAUGACUGGGCGUAAAGGGAGUGUAGGCGGCCUUGCAAGUUAGAUGUGAAAUCCUAUGGCUUAACCAUAGAACUGCAUUUGAAACUGUUAUUCUAGAGUAUGGGAGAGGUAGGUGGAAUUCUUGGUGUAGGGGUAAAAUCCGUAGAGAUCAAGAGGAAUACUCAUUGCGAAGGCGACCUGCUAGAACAUAACUGACGCUGAUGCGCGAAAGCGUGGGGAGCAAACAGG